This is a long non-coding RNA of Gopherus flavomarginatus (Mexican gopher tortoise), 1804 nucleotides long. RefSeq lists it as uncharacterized. The transcript has 3 exons. NCBI's taxonomy places the organism in Eukaryota, Metazoa, Chordata, Testudines, Testudinidae. The record is from RefSeq and is a predicted model, not a curated record.
GGAAUGCUUUGGGCGGCGGGGGAGCCAGAGGAAGGGGAGCUACCGUGGCCUUGGCUUUGCUCAGGUGCUGUAACGCAGGAACACACAGCAACUACACAGCGAACAAUGAAACCGAAGUAUGGGACACAAGGACAACACUGUCUAGCUAAUGAACGAUCCCUGCUCCCUCACAAGGGAAGCCCAACAGCUGCAGCAAGAGGAGUCCAUGCCUGAACACAAGGAGUGCUCCCCUAGGCCAUGCUGCUUAUGCACAUGUAUGCCUCUACACUUCUGGUUACAAGGGCCUUCACCAUACCAGCCUGGGAUAUUUUACAUGGCAAAAAAACAGUGUUCAAGGCAAAGGUAAAAACACAUGCAGGUAGUAAGUUCAUGGGAUAGAACUGGGAGUUUUAAAGUAGACCCUGGCUCAGCCUCACAACUCCUAAGGAGAGUAGGUAUCAUUGCCCUGUUUUACAGAUGGGGAAACUGAGGCAGAAAAUUGCAAAGGGUUUUAUAGAGUCAAUGACAGAGCUGAAAUUAGAACUUAGGUCUUCCUGACUAAUGCUGGUCAUAGUCCUCCUAUACUGCCCAUCAAUGGUAGUUUCAAGCCAGGCAGUAUUUGUCCCAUAACUGCUUGGUUGAAAUCACCAUUAGCCAGUUAGCAUGCAGUCUCAGUCUGCCCACUUUAUAAGAAGGGAUAAUCUGAUACUUGGAUUCAGUAGAGAAAUGCGCAGAAUUCUGAACUCCGAGAGACAGUUCUUCAACUGUGCCUCAAACUAAAUGGUUAGACUAAAUACUGUACACAUUCCACUCAUCUGCAUGGAAACUCUACAGGAACUGCAGCAGCAUGUAUGGCAGAGCCUGAGAUAUACUUGCUUCCAGCGCGGAGCACUAUCCAGGGAGCUACUUGACUCAACUCCAGCAAAGUCAGACACCAAGGAUUUCUCUGGUGGCACAACACAAGGCUCCUCUCACUGCCCUGGCUCACCAUGGCGGGGUGGAUAAAAAUCAAUGAUUUUAAAAAAAUAAAAAAUGGGAUUUUUUUGAUAAAAUGCUUUUUGAGGACAAAACUUAUCUAAAGAUAGUUUUAAUUAAGAUACAUUAUAGCUCAAAGAUUCCUCAUCAUGGAAUAGGGAUUAUAAAUUCUAAUUCUAUAGUAUGAGACAAUAUAUUCAUGUAAUGUUUAAGAAAGUUUUGUGAAUCCAAUAGUUCAUGGAUUAGGGACCCAAUUUUAUGGAGUUCCAGGGGCUUCUGUAUAGAUUAUUUAGGUUAAUCUUUCUAUCUACCCAAUGGGACUCAGUGCUCAGUCUAGAAGACACCAUCAGAGAUGCUUAGUUUUGCAUUUCUUAAAACUGUAUGGAUUUCUCUCUCCAGAGAUAACAUGCUUGUUAACAGCAAAAAUGUUUUUAAAUAAAUAAAUAUAGAUAGAGGUGAGAAAUAACAGACCUUAACCCUAUUGUCCCUCUGCCAGUUUGUGUACACAGAGUCAAUCCCUUACCUCUCUCUAAAAGUGCAAAGUUUCAAAAAGUUCAAUGAAGAGAAGAUAAUUGGGGGUGGAAUAGAUCUGGACAAGGAGAAGAAGUCUGGAGAUAAAUGUGAGAAGGGAGGGACAGGCAGUAGAAACAAAAGUGAAGCUGUUGGUUUGGCAACUUCCACCUUUUCAUGUUCUCUGUAUUGUGACAAAGUUCCUCCUCUACCUUGGUGGCAGUGAUGAGCUGCCAAAAUAUUAACAACAGGUUCCCUCCUCCUCACCCCACGAGGGGGUCAUGCCCCAUCCAACUCCCCAUGUUCCUUGAUGCCCCAUCCACCCCCCUUCCCUGUCCCC